GUGGCAGUGCGGGGUGCUAUACAUGCAGUCGAGCGAAUGGAUUAAGAGCUUGCUCUUAUGAAGUUAGCGGCGGACGGGUGAGUAACACGUGGGUAACCUGCCCAUAAGACUGGGAUAACUCCGGGAAACCGGGGCUAAUACCGGAUAACAUUUUGAACCGCAUGGUUCGAAAUUGAAAGGCGGCUUCGGCUGUCACUUAUGGAUGGACCCGCGUCGCAUUAGCUAGUUGGUGAGGUAACGGCUCACCAAGGCAACGAUGCGUAGCCGACCUGAGAGGGUGAUCGGCCACACUGGGACUGAGACACGGCCCAGACUCCUACGGGAGGCAGCAGUAGGGAAUCUUCCGCAAUGGACGAAAGUCUGACGGAGCAACGCCGCGUGAGUGAUGAAGGCUUUCGGGUCGUAAAACUCUGUUGUUAGGGAAGAACAAGUGCUAGUUGAAUAAGCUGGCACCUUGACGGUACCUAACCAGAAAGCCACGGCUAACUACGUGCCAGCAGCCGCGGUAAUACGUAGGUGGCAAGCGUUAUCCGGAAUUAUUGGGCGUAAAGCGCGCGCAGGUGGUUUCUUAAGUCUGAUGUGAAAGCCCACGGCUCAACCGUGGAGGGUCAUUGGAAACUGGGAGACUUGAGUGCAGAAGAGGAAAGUGGAAUUCCAUGUGUAGCGGUGAAAUGCGUAAGAGAUAUGGAGGAACACCAGUGGCGAAGGCGACUUUCUGGUCUGUAACUGACACUGAGGCGCGAAAACAUGGGGGAGCAAACACGGAUUAGAUACCCUGGGUAGUCCACCCCCCUAAACGAUGAGUGCCCACCUGUUAGAGGGAUUGCCCCCCCUUUAUUGCUGGAAGUUAAC
RNAcentral lists this ribosomal RNA (852 nucleotides) under Bacillus sp. (in: firmicutes). Its description in RNAcentral is "bacterial SSU rRNA". It matches the Rfam family "Bacterial small subunit ribosomal RNA", at positions 34 to 856 of the family's 1533-position model. The record is from RNAcentral. Lineage: Bacteria; Bacillati; Bacillota; Bacilli; Caryophanales; Bacillaceae.